GACUGAUUGUACCCGCCAGCUGGCUAAUAUCAUAAUUAACAAAGUUGCUACUACAUCUGCAAAGUUUAAUCGAAAAAUUUGCCAGUGAUAUGAUGGCAUUGUCACAAAGAUCACAAGGGACACGGAGUUGACUUUUGCUCAAGGUGGAAUGGCAAAGCUGUAUGGGCAAGAUGAGAAAUCGUGCACUUGUUCAGCCAAAGGUUAUGCUUCAUGUCACCCACCGGGGAGGAUCAUCUCUCAUGAAAACUGCCAAAUUUGAUUUUGAAAAUUAUUCAGAAAAAUUUAAGCCACGCUAUCUCCCACUGUAGGAAAGAAUAUACUCUGGAGGUUCCUAUAAUUCAAAGAAAAUGGACUGGGAUAACAUUUGGGUUUGCAUGCCACCAAAAUCCUCUCGAGAAGGACAGCCAGGUUUUGCUAAAGGAUCACACUGUGGAAUCUACAACCGCGACAAACUUCUGCACUUACUGCCCCUUGAAAAACAAAAUAUUGGCAUGGGAAGGAGGCUAAUAAUGAAGGGCCGGGGAAGGAGGCCAGUGCUAGGAGGGUUAUCUCACUGCCUCAGAUGCUGGAUAAGUCGAAGGAAGCAGAAUCGCUUUUGGAUGACAUUCAGAAAGGCCGGAGUGAUUAUUUGGGAGAGAAAAGCCUGCCUAUUCUUUUCCAAGGUGCGUGACUGUUCCCCUGGCCUGCCCAUCCACUGAUGAAUUAUUAGCAACGUGCCUUAGACAAAGGACGCACGGGAGCCCCACCACACCUAGAGCCACGCUUUGAAGGAUCUGCCAAGCUCACUUUUAAUCAUGAGAAAGAAAUUACCCACAUGGAGUCAGCAGAAAAUGAGAAAGUAGAGCUCGUGCUGCGAAUAAUUCCAGCAAGU
Molecule: long non-coding RNA, 871 nt
Organism: Prionailurus viverrinus (fishing cat)
Lineage: Eukaryota; Metazoa; Chordata; Mammalia; Carnivora; Felidae
Exons: 5
Source: RefSeq, a predicted model, not a curated record